RNAcentral lists this ribosomal RNA (264 nucleotides) under uncultured bacterium. Its description in RNAcentral is "partial 16S ribosomal RNA". It matches the Rfam family "Bacterial small subunit ribosomal RNA", at positions 793 to 1055 of the family's 1533-position model. The record is from RNAcentral.
GUCCACGCCCUAAACGAUGCGAACUGGACGUUGGGAGCAAUCAGGCUCUCAGUGUCGAAGCUAACGCGUUAAGUUCGCCGCCUGGGGAGUACGGUCGCAAGACUGAAACUCAAAGGAAUUGACGGGGGCCCGCACAAGCGGUGGAGUAUGUGGUUUAAUUCGAUGCAACGCGAAGAACCUUACCUGGCCUUGACAUCCACGGAAUCUUUGAGAGAUCAGAGAGUGCCUUCGGGAACCGUGAGACAGGUGCUGCAUGGCUGUCGU